This is a non-coding RNA of Pelobates cultripes (western spadefoot toad), 222 nucleotides long. The record is from the annotation of a GenBank genome assembly. Lineage: Eukaryota; Metazoa; Chordata; Amphibia; Anura; Pelobatidae.
CACUGCUCCCUCUGCAGAUGCUGCCGGCAAAACAGGAAAUUACGUCAGGUGGCGGCGCCUGAUUGACGCCAUUUCAUGUCUCCCGGUGGCAUCAAUGGAGGGAGCAGUGCUGUAACAGCACGUAAGUCAGUGCUCCCUCGCAGCCCUCCAUCCCAUCCACCCACCAGUGCCACCUUAACAACAUUAUGGGCUCUGGGCAAAGCAGUGCACUGGGGCCCUGCC